Molecule: long non-coding RNA, 586 nt
Organism: Rhipicephalus sanguineus (brown dog tick)
Lineage: Eukaryota; Metazoa; Arthropoda; Arachnida; Ixodida; Ixodidae
Exons: 4
Source: RefSeq, a predicted model, not a curated record
GUCAUCUCUCCUAGGCUUUGCACAGCUUGAGGUGUAUGCCGGGAAGAGCAUUCGAAUGCGAGGCGGUUGGUGCGGUUGCUCUUUGUUUCAUCGAUUUAAACAGAUUUUACGCUCCGCGCUUUGUUGACGUGCGUGGUCUAAUCGUGUUGUGUACGUGAGUGGCGUGUAACUAGUGAUACAGCACGCAGAGACAGUCAUUAACGUGCGCGAUCCGCCGCAAAUCUGCCACGAGGCAUUGCAACGGGCACGUUCAGUGGGCUGCGCGGCCGUUGCGAUUAGCUGCAUUGCUGAUUCUUCGCUUGCCUGAGACUGGCAAUUGUCGAGCGGGUUGCGUCCGUUGCUACGUUGCCCGAAGACAGUAGUAAAUGUGAUUUGCAGAUAGCACGAAUGCCAGCAAUCGUGCAACGUAGGAGUUCGAAGGGGGACAUGGUCAGUGUGGUUGGGUGCAAGCAACGUGUCAUUGUGGUUAGAAAAAAUGAAUCAGUAUACAUGUGAUUUAACUGUCAAAGCCGGAAUGUUUAAAACAUAUAUCCCGCCCAAGGCAUGCUGGGAUGAUCUCCUAUCAGGCAGCUUGGAAACUUCCAGA